GAUGAACGCUAGCGACAGGCUUAACACAUGCAAGUCGAGGGGCAGCAUAGGGUAGCAAUACUCUGAUGGCGACCGGCAAACGGGUGAGUAACGCGUAUGCAACCUACCCUGUACAGGGGGAUAACCCGGAGAAAUUCGGACUAAUAUCCCGUAAUAAUAUCCGGAGGCAUCUUUGGAUAUUUAAAGUUCCGACGGUACGGGAUGGGCAUGCGUAACAUUAGCUAGUUGGUGAGGUAACAGCUCACCAAGGCGACGACGGGUAGCCGGCCUGAGAGGGUGACCGGCCACACUGGGACUGAGACACGGCCCAGACUCCUACGGGGGGCAGCAGUGAGGAAUAUUGGUCAAUGGGCGGAAGCCUGAACCAGCCAUGCCGCGUGCAGGAAGGAGGCCCUACGGGUUGUAAACUGCUUUUACCCGGGAAGAAACCGCCCCCUGUGGGGGCGUUGCCGGUACCGGGGGAAAAGGAUCGGCUAACUCCGUG
RNAcentral lists this ribosomal RNA (484 nucleotides) under uncultured bacterium. Its description in RNAcentral is "bacterial SSU rRNA". It matches the Rfam family "Bacterial small subunit ribosomal RNA", at positions 28 to 507 of the family's 1533-position model. The record is from RNAcentral.